This 29-nucleotide non-coding RNA is filed under the name Cricetulus griseus (Chinese hamster). The record is from RNAcentral. Lineage: Eukaryota; Metazoa; Chordata; Mammalia; Rodentia; Cricetidae.
UCAUGCAACAACUUCUAAGGAACCAGAAC